AGCAGCCGCGGUAAUUCCAGCUCCAAUAGCGUAUAUUAAAGUUGUUGCAGUUAAAAAGCUCGUAGUUGAAUUUCGGAAUCAGUACGCCGGUCAUGCUUCGGUAUGUACUAGUGUCACUGAUUCCUUCCUUCUGACGAACCGUCAUGCCAUUAAUUUAGUGUGACGGGGAAUCAGGACUGUUACUUUGAAAAAUUAGAGUGUUUAAAGCAGGCUCGCGCUUGAAUACAUUAGCAUGGAAUAAUGAAAUAGGACGUUGAUCUUAUUUUGUUGGUUUCUUAGAUCGACGUAAUGAUUAAUAGGGAUAGUUGGGGGCAUUAGUAUUCAAUUGUUAGAGGUGAAAUUCUUGGAUUUAUUGAAGACUAACUACUGCGAAAGCAUUUGCCAAGGAUG
RNAcentral lists this ribosomal RNA (390 nucleotides) under uncultured Glomeromycotina. Its description in RNAcentral is "SSU rRNA". It matches the Rfam family "Eukaryotic small subunit ribosomal RNA", at positions 569 to 966 of the family's 1831-position model. The record is from RNAcentral. Lineage: Eukaryota; Fungi; Glomeromycota.